GGCUAUUAGCUCAGGUGGUUAGAGCGCACCCCUGAUAAGGGUGAGGUCCCUGGUUCAAGUCCAGGAUGGCCCACCUAAACAAUGUGGGGGUAUAGCUCAGUUGGUAGAGCGCUGCCUUUGCAAGGCAGAUGUCAGCGGUUCGAGUCCGCUUACCUCCACUAAACCCAUCAAAACCGAGAACAAACUAGCACUACAGCUUUCAUCACCAGAAAGAGUAAAUGCUGGAAAUGUUCCAGCCAGAACCUUGAAAACUGCAUAGAAAAAUCAGAAGGGAUCAAAAAUGAAACCCAAACCGGGAAGAAAAAACCC
RNAcentral lists this transfer RNA (309 nucleotides) under Planktothrix sp. No704. RNAcentral describes it as "partial 16S-23S ribosomal RNA intergenic spacer". The stretch from base 86 to 158 matches the Rfam family "tRNA". RNAcentral also lists the same sequence under 6 other names. Lineage: Bacteria; Bacillati; Cyanobacteriota; Cyanophyceae; Oscillatoriales; Microcoleaceae. The record is from RNAcentral.